RNAcentral lists this ribosomal RNA (139 nucleotides) under uncultured bacterium. Its description in RNAcentral is "partial 16S ribosomal RNA". It matches the Rfam family "Bacterial small subunit ribosomal RNA", at positions 355 to 511 of the family's 1533-position model. The record is from RNAcentral.
UGGGGAAUAUUGCACAAUGGGGGAAACCCUGAUGCAGCGACGCCGCGUGAGCGAAGAAGUAUUUCGGUAUGUAAAGCUCUAUCAGCAGGGAAGAUAAUGACGGUACCUGACUAAGAAGCCCCGGCUAACUACGUGCCAA